This 496-nucleotide ribosomal RNA is filed under the name uncultured bacterium. RNAcentral's name for it is "partial 16S ribosomal RNA". It matches the Rfam family "Bacterial small subunit ribosomal RNA", at positions 29 to 507 of the family's 1533-position model. The record is from RNAcentral.
AUGAACGCUGGCUGCGUGCCUAAUACAUGCAAGUCGAGCGAACGGACGAGAAGCUUGCUUCUCUGAUGUUAGCGGCGGACGGGUGAGUAACACGUGGAUAACCUACCUAUAAGACUGGGAUAACUUCGGGAAACCGGAGCUAAUACCGGAUGAUAUUUUGAACCGCAUGGUUCAAAAGUGAAAGACGGUCUUGCUGUCACUUAUAGAUGGAUCCGCGCUGCAUUAGCUAGUUGGUAAGGUAACGGCUUACCAAGGCAACGAUGCAUAGCCGACCUGAGAGGGUGAUCGGCCACACUGGAACUGAGACACGGUCCAGACUCCUACGGGAGGCAGCAGUAGGGAAUCUUCCGCAAUGGGCGAAAGCCUGACGGAGCAACGCCGCGUGAGUGAUGAAGGUCUUCGGAUCGUAAAACUCUGUUAUUAGGGAAGAACAUAUGUGUAAGUAACUGUGCACAUCUUGACGGUACCUAAUCAGAAAGCCACGGCUAACUACGUG